AACGAACGCUGGCGGCAUGCCUAACACAUGCAAGUCGAACGAGACCUCCGGUGCUUGUGGCGCACGGCUGCUUAAGGCGUGGGAACCUGCCCAUAGGUUCGGAAUAACUCCCCGAGAGGGGUGCUAAUAACGCAUAAUGUCUUCGGCCCAAAGAUUUCUCGCCAUUGGAUGGGCCCUCGUUGGAUUAGCUAGUUGGUAGGGUAAAAGCCUACCAAGGCGACGAUCCAUAGAUGGUCUGAGAGGAUGAUCAGCCACACUGGGACUGAGACACGGCCCAGACUCCUACGGGAGGCAGCAGUGGGGAAUAUUGGACAAUGGGCGAAAGCCUGAUCGAGCUAUGCCGCGUAAGUGAUGAAGGCCUUAGAGUAGUAAAGCUCUUUUACCCGGGAUGAUAAUGACAGUACCGGGAGAAUAAGCACCGGCUAACUCCGUG
RNAcentral lists this ribosomal RNA (433 nucleotides) under uncultured bacterium. RNAcentral describes it as "partial 16S ribosomal RNA". It matches the Rfam family "Bacterial small subunit ribosomal RNA", at positions 29 to 507 of the family's 1533-position model. The record is from RNAcentral.